Molecule: ribosomal RNA, 467 nt
Filed under: Klebsiella sp. BAB-3711
Lineage: Bacteria; Pseudomonadati; Pseudomonadota; Gammaproteobacteria; Enterobacterales; Enterobacteriaceae
Description: bacterial SSU rRNA
Rfam family: Bacterial small subunit ribosomal RNA
Source: RNAcentral
ACAUGCAGUCGAGCGGUAGUACAGAGAGUUUGUCUCGGGUGACGAGCGGAGGACGGGUGAGUAAUGUCUGGGAAACUGCCUGAUGGAGGGGGAUAACUACUGGAAACGGUAGCUAAUACCGCAUAACGUCGCAAGACCAAAGUGGGGGACCUUCGGGCCUCAUGCCAUCAGAUGUGCCCAGAUGGGAUUAGCUAGUAGGUGGGGUAACGGCUCACCUAGGCGACGAUCCCUAGCUGGUCUGAGAGGAUGACCAGCCACACUGGAACUGAGACACGGUCCAGACUCCUACGGGAGGCAGCAGUGGGGAAUAUUGCACAAUGGGCGCAAGCCUGAUGCAGCCAUGCCGCGUGUGUGAAGAAGGCCUUCGGGUUGUAAAGCACUUUCAGCGGGGAGGAAGGCGUUAAGGUUAAUAACCUCGCCGAUUGACGUUACCCGCAGAAGAAGCACCGGCUAACUCCGUGCCAGCA